Molecule: long non-coding RNA, 1843 nt
Organism: Nycticebus coucang (slow loris)
Lineage: Eukaryota; Metazoa; Chordata; Mammalia; Primates; Lorisidae
Exons: 6
Source: RefSeq, a predicted model, not a curated record
UAAGAGCUUUCUUUACCAUGCCAUCAGUGCUGGGCUGUUUGUUGUUUUAAAUUUAUAUGAACGUAGUUUCCCUAUCUGGAAUGAUGAAUCUCACUGUGAAUAGAACUUAGAAGCAAUUCUGCAGGAUGCAUGCUUCUGCCGGGACACGGAGCCUACUGGGUUUGCAGCGUGGGACCUGACAGCUAUUCUAAGGCUGCUCAAUACCAAGCAAGUCCCCCCAAAUCCUGGUUCCAGUGGAACAUCCUCUGCAAAGGCUGCAGGGGACCCUCUCUGGACCUGCUCUGUGUCCCCUGUAGUGACGGAGUGAGUGACAGUCUCUAGAACAGACCUGGAGCCCGGUGUAGCCCUGGGGCUGUGGUGACUGGCACAGGUGGAGUCUACACGUCGCGGUGUCUCCUGAGCCUGGCCUGGGUGGAUGGGCCUCGUUCUGCCCAUUCUGUUGUCUCUAGAAGGAGAUCUGUUCUUGAACGUGAAUUUUAUGCUCAUGGAGUGCAGGACAGGGUGACCUUCUGUCCCACAGACCCUGACACUGAGGCUUCCUGUGUCAGUCUGGACUGUGCCCAGGACCCUGGAACAGAAGAGGUGGAGACACAGAGAGAAGAAUUUCCUGAGAAGCUGCAGAACCUAUCAUUUCAUCCUGUGUGUUCAAGUGUCUAGAGCUGUGUAACCUCUGAGCUCUCAGUAAUACCCUCGGUCAAUUUCUGUUUGUCUGACGAGCAGCAACCGCAGCAGCACACGGAGCUUGUAGACGCUGGUGCGUCUGUGGCUGCCUUCCGGGCGCGGUCAGCCCUCCACGUCCAGGUCUCCACAUCCAGGGAUCUAAUCAGCCACAGUGAAAAAGUGUUUGACAAAACAAUGAAGACGCACAGCCGUGCACAGUAGUACACGUGGAAUACAGCAGGACAGCGGUGAGCGCAGAGUCUACGCGGGAUGAGGUAACACAGUUACAGCACACUGGAUUCCGGGCUCUCUGGACCAGUUCUUCACACAUCACCCACCAUUCCCGCAACUACCAGCCUCAGGCACACAGAGGAUUCAGUUCAGAUGCGUCCCUUCCCUAUUUUUCUUUGUGUGGUCUCAAUUAGGGCCGUCCUGAGAGUUCAGGCGUCUGGUCCUGUGAUCCAGGAUGUUAUGAUCAUAUCUGCACCCAGGCUCGGUUACAAGCAGGCUCAUGACUUGGUCCCCAUCCGGGUCACUCACUGAACACCUCUGUGGUGUAGCCAGCAGCUGUACUGAGUCCUCUGGCUGGAGCCUGAGAGGGACAGGACAGCUCCAUCCCCAGCAGGGAUCCUGGUGACCGGCUGGGAGCCCAGUGGUGUUUCUUCUUUGUAUCAUGAAUCAGAGUUUGGGGGCUUGUCCAGACUUCUGGUGGACACAGGUGGACAGGGACUGCUGGUCGCCUCUCCAGGGCUAGAGCUGCAGGCCUUGCUAAGCUCAGAGCAAGUCCCCAGGACCCCUUGGUGACAUCCUCAGGAGAAUGUGACUGGGCUGAUUAUCAGGAGCUAAAUGUAGCCCUUUCUUUCUUUGAACAAAUAAAAAUUAUUUAACAAUUUCCACUGAAUUUUUCCCCAAGUCAAACCCAUUUAUAGCUUUUCACUUCGUCACUCCCUUAUUUUCACAUUAUUCUCCUGUCCUGUGGAGCGACUUCCCCCAUGACAAACAAUCAGAUGUUACCAGUUCCUGAGUCCCUCCUGAACUUUCUUUGUAAAAUUCCGUCUAUUCUUUUUUUCAGGUUUUUUAAAAUUUAUAUUUGGUGUGAUUUUUAUAAUUUUCAUUUUUUUCUGAUAGUUUCCCCUUUUCCAUUUGUUUAAAAAGUUUUAAUAGUUGAAAAUCUGUCGGAUAA